Long non-coding RNA from Magnolia sinica, 730 nucleotides. RefSeq lists it as uncharacterized. The transcript has 4 exons. Lineage: Eukaryota; Viridiplantae; Streptophyta; Magnoliopsida; Magnoliales; Magnoliaceae. The record is from RefSeq and is a predicted model, not a curated record.
GUGGGAGAAGAAAGGAAUUCUUUAUCAUUAUUUCCCAAUGUACCAGUUCCGGGUUAGCAAGCUGCUACACCUCAUGGAAUGGGAUUUGGCAUGCAAUGUCAAUGCCUGCAUUUCCUCAGAUAUCAAAAACUACCAACCCAUUUGAUCUUGGCAUUGAACCAACUCCAAUUCAUGCCCCAAUGGUUGUGAAAUGUGAGUUGCCGAUUGUCCCUGCAAGGGAAUUACCAUCUGAGGAAUGUCCAACCUAGCUCUCUAGUUCCCAAUCAACUAUAUUUUAAUCCUGCUAUUGUGAAAAUGUUGAGCAACCUGAAGGUAUAUAUUAUUGACAUAUGGAUUGUCUUUGACAUUUUGCAUUUUGCAUUUUAGCAUAACUGUUGCACACUUGCUGUAUGUUGAUGAAGUUUGGUUUUGCAAUAUGAAAGCAAUGCUCAGUUCGUGAGGUGGUCAACCAUGUGCAGUAAGCUUUCAGAUCAAAGCGAAGCUGAGAAUAAGGUGUUAGUUGAUGGAAAAUUGAUAACCAGUAAAGGCACAUCCAUGGAGUUGUCGCUUGCGAUUGUUGAGAAGCUAUUUGGCUGCGAGAAGGCAUUGGAUCUUGCUGUCAAUGAGAACUUUAAAUAGACAUAUAACUAUUAUAUUAGUAUUGUACUUUUGUCAAUGGAUUAAAAUGAAUGAGUGUAUUUGAUUGAAUGAAUGAAUGAUUGCAUUUAAUUGAAUGAAUAAAUGAUUUAGC